UGGUGAUGAUAAUGAUGAUGAUGAUGAUAUCAUCAUCAUCAUCAUCUGAC
This 50-nucleotide microRNA precursor is filed under the name Podarcis lilfordi (Lilford's wall lizard). Lineage: Eukaryota; Metazoa; Chordata; Lepidosauria; Squamata; Lacertidae. The record is from RNAcentral.